GCGGACAGAGAGAGGACAGUCAGAACCCCUUCUGCCCAGGCCUUCCCUUCCCACUUUGACCCAGUAGCUCAGGAUUGCUCACAUGGCAUGGUGCAUGCACACAUCUGGCCUGCCGCGCCUUGUCCACCCUUAGGCCCUAUGUCUCUGUGUGAGGCAGGAUGGUGUCCUGCCUAACAAAGUGUACCAAGUCCCAGGCUCCUCUGAGCCAGUCUGGUAAGACAUCCCACCAGUGCUGGAUCGCUUGGAACCAAUCCGACAGCACAGAUGAGUGACCCCCAAGUCUUCAGGGGUCAAACCAGCCAGAGAUACCAGGGAAAGUGGAGGUUUCUGAUGCUGUCCCUGGGAUGAACUUCUGGGCCCAGGACUGCCCCCACUUUGUCCCUUCUUAGCAGUUUCUCAGUGACCCAGUGUCUGCUCUCCAGGGCAGCAAGAGCUGUGUGUUCCAGUUUCCCCAAGCUGAGCACCCCUGUACUCAACUCACAGGAAUGCAAGCACUCCACAAUGGUGGUGGCGUCGAUGAAAUAGCCCCCACAGAGGGCACACAUGAGAUGAGGAACCAGGCACAUGUCUGAGGCUGGCUGUCUCUGGGUCUCCCUCUAAGUGUUCACUGGGCGUUGGGGGCUCAGGAGGUUUCUCCCACUUUGAGAAACAAGGUCGUGGACCAUCUCAGAAGCAGCAAGAAGGACUGAAGUCAGACCGUAAGAAACACUAACCAACUCUUGAAGAUGGAUGUGGGAGGGCAAGAAAAUGGAAGAUCUUCCUGGGAGCUGGGUGGGAUGGCACGCCUUUAAGCCCAGCACUCAGGAGGCAGAGACAGGCAGAUCUCUGUGAGUUCGAAGCCAGCCUGGUCUACAGAGAGAGUUCCAGGACAGGCUCCAAAAGCUACACAGAGAAACCCUGACUUGAAACUUCCCCCAACCCCUAGAAAAGAUCUUCCUGGGACACAUGGGCCUGUGAGAGGGCUCACCAUACCUGGUGCUUGCAGCCAAGCCUUGUGACCCACACGAUGGAAAGAGAAAAAAAAAAAACCCAAAUAGCUGCAAGUUGUCCUUUGCGCACACACACACACACACACACACUCUCUCUCUCUCUCUCUCUCUCUCUCUAAAUGCAAUAAAAAAUUUUAGCAAUAUUCCUGAUUCCAACCCACAUCCAUUCAAGUUGUCAAAUAUUUACCGAGUACUAACAGCUAUGAGAAAUCGUCCAGACAACUCAAUUCACAGACCAAAAUGAAGAAUGAAUUAACGCUGCUCCGUCAAUGAGAGAUUCGUCAUGGGGAAGCCUGCUUGAGAGGUACUGGGACACAGGCCUGUCGCUUGUCCUUUUGGCUAGGUCCCUCUAACGUCCCCGGACACAUACAGCUCCUUGCAUGUCUCCAUGCGCUGACCCUUUGGACUUCCAGCUGAGAACCCUAAGGCUGGUUUUCAUUAUGUCCCAUGUUAUGAAGAAGCUGUAGGCCCAGCCUGGCACUGGAUUCUACAGGUAGUGUAAGAGCCUGGCAAAAAGACCUUUACUGCACUGUGGUGAGAACCACUCCAUGGUGCCCCCACCCCCCACCCUCAAAGCGCACUAAGUGCUCUCCAGUGCGCGCGUGGUCCAGGAACCCACUUUCAUGAACACACAGAAUGGCUUCAUGUGCCACUGGGAUCCCACCACACCCCAGCCUGGUGACUUCUGCCACCUGUGUUCAUAGGCUCCCCUAGACCCCUGCCAACACUGGGCAGAGAGCAUUCUCUGUCCCCAGCUCUCCAAUGCACCUGGCCAGACCCCAGCAGGCCAAGGUCAUUUCAAAGCUGACUCUGGCUCUGGACUGGAGGAGGCUGCCUCUUUCCUUCUCUCCCAGAGCAGAAGCCCAGGAGCUGGGCUUGAGAGGCUGGCCAAGCCCCAACCGCACCUUUACAACAUACAACCUCCUUUCUUUUCCAGAAAGAUUUCUAAAGCCACCACACUGGCUUUUCUAGGACAAGAAAUUCACAGCCAGGAUCAGCAGUUUCUAUAGAGACCCCAGGAUGAGCCUGGCCAGGACCCAAACAGCCAAUAAGGCCCCGGGGCACCUGGCCAGAGACUGGGAAAAAUGGAGAGACACAAAGGCCACACUUGGGACAGACACCGAGUUGCAGAAAAGAAGGGGUGAACAAGGCAGCCCGAGGCGGCCACCCCUGGCCUGCAAAGUUUCUGCCCCCAUGGUGGCCCUAGCUGGUCCUCCCUGCGUGGGUCCCCCUUCACAAUUUCUAAGAGCCUGCUGGCUACUCUACUGUUUAGUUGUUUCCAUGGUAACAUAGUCCCUGGCAAGCAGCCCAAAUAUUAUUACAACCAUCCAGAGGACAGAACAAACUCCAAGUGGCUGUCUCUUUGAGCGUGGGUAACAGCCACCGUGUGGACGUGCUGUCUGGGAGGCCAACGGUGCUUCAUGUGCCUGCUUGCUUGCGUUGUGUGUGUCUGUGUCCGGAGACACACCGAGACAGAAGCAAACUGUAUCCGAGUCGGAUCCAGCCAGGGAAGCUAGGCUGCUAGGGUAAGUACCCCCCACACCUGGUACACAUAUGCAAUACACACACACACACACACACACACACACACACACACACACACACACACAC
Long non-coding RNA from Peromyscus californicus insignis, 2600 nucleotides. RefSeq lists it as uncharacterized. The record is from RefSeq and is a predicted model, not a curated record. The transcript is spliced from 2 exons. NCBI's taxonomy places the organism in Eukaryota, Metazoa, Chordata, Mammalia, Rodentia, Cricetidae.